Molecule: small nucleolar RNA, 79 nt
Organism: Acomys russatus (golden spiny mouse)
Lineage: Eukaryota; Metazoa; Chordata; Mammalia; Rodentia; Muridae
Product: small nucleolar RNA SNORD115
Exons: 1
Source: RefSeq, a predicted model, not a curated record
GGGUCAAUGAUGAAAACCUAAUGUCAUGAAGAGAGGUGAUGACAUAAAUAUCAUACUCAAUGGGAAUACGGUGAGGCCC